This 226-nucleotide long non-coding RNA is filed under the name Carica papaya (papaya). Its description in RNAcentral is "long non-coding RNA (CPAP_LNC003723)". Lineage: Eukaryota; Viridiplantae; Streptophyta; Magnoliopsida; Brassicales; Caricaceae. The record is from RNAcentral.
AUCAUAGUGCAUGUUUGUGUGUGUGUGUAUAAAUAUUAUAAUGCAAUUGAUUUCUCAAGUGUUGGCUCUUAUUGAUAGUGAAAGAGCAGUUGAGUUUUACAUGAUCUCAAGGAAUCGUUUGGUUCAAAUUAGUCUGCUUAUUUUUAACAAGGCAGACAAAUCAACUACAUUUCCGAAGGAGUAGUUUAUGGUUGUCAACUACUACUGAUGAUGGCUAAUCUAUAUG